Molecule: transfer RNA, 94 nt
Filed under: Gammaproteobacteria bacterium
Lineage: Bacteria; Pseudomonadati; Pseudomonadota; Gammaproteobacteria
Description: tRNA-Ser
Rfam family: tRNA
About the family: Transfer RNA (tRNA) molecules are approximately 80 nucleotides in length. Their secondary structure includes four short double-helical elements and three loops (D, anti-codon, and T loops). Further hydrogen bonds mediate the characteristic L-shaped molecular structure. tRNAs have two regions of fundamental functional importance: the anti-codon, which is responsible for specific mRNA codon recognition, and the 3' end, to which the tRNAs corresponding amino acid is attached (by aminoacyl-tRNA synthetases). tRNAs cope with the degeneracy of the genetic code in two manners: having more than one tRNA (with a specific anti-codon) for a particular amino acid; and 'wobble' base-pairing, i.e. permitting non-standard base-pairing at the 3rd anti-codon position.
Source: RNAcentral
GGAGAGAUGGCCGAGCUGGUCGAAGGCGCGCCCCUGCUAAGGUCGUAUACGCGCAAAACGCGUAUCGUGGGUUCGAAUCCCACUCACUCCGCCA